CAGAAGAAUGUAGAACUUUCAUAACAGAAAGAAAAGAUUUUAGGCAUCUAUUUUACCAUCUCAGAGGAAGAUAGCUGCAGUUGUGUAAAACAGAUUUAUUUAUUCAAAAAUCAACUAUUUAUGGAAUACCUACUUUGUCUUGAGCCCUGAUGUGAGAGCUGGAGAUCCCAAGAUGAAUAAGACACCGUCGCUACUCUCAAGGAACUCACAGCCCAGUGAAAGACACAGAGAAGAAACUAGACAGUUGUAGUUGUAUCAGACACCUGUAGUUGCCAUCUACCUUUCCAGAAAUUGUCCUUUCCCACCUACACAGUCACAAAAGGCAAUAUGAUUCUACCCUCACUUUCCCAAGAUGAUUGGUCCCUCAGGAAGCAGUUGACUCAUGAGUAUUCUACAUUGUUAUUGAAGUGAUGAUUCUUCUGACCAGUGAAGCAGGGUCAUAUUUCCUGCAUUUAGAAUUUUAUUUGGUUCCCAGCAAGACAAUAGCAGUUAGAGUGAAUAACUCAGUAAUGGGAGCACUGAUUGAAAAAGAAAGAUGAGAAGAACCUCUGGGACUUGAACAAGAUUUAAUCUCUAUUGUUCUCAAAGAAAACUGGUCUGCAUAAAAGAGCUCAAACUGAAUUGUUCUAAACUGGAGGGGAAGGGGACUUCUAAACAGCCUAUUAUUUGAGAUUAUCCAGAUUAUAUAACUUAAUUCCAGAUACUUAGGAAUCAUUUUAUUUUCAAUAAAUUCUAUCUUUUCAUCUUGUGAAGGAAGACUUUGAAAGAGCAGAAUCGUGAGGAAUGAUGCCAGUGCCAUUUGCUGAAAAUGAAAGCAGGAACUUGGACCAGAAGUUUUAGAAUCCUGAAUUUAUCAAAGAAAUGUGAAGGCUGAGGCUUACAGAGAUCGAAGAGUAGAGGAUGCAUUGAGGCCACAGUUGAAGGAAAGAAGCCUGGAUUUCCACUGAAUUUGGGCUAAAUUUCCACUAUUCUUCUUCCUCUUCCUUAAGAUUCUGCUCAUUGGGUUACCCACCAACCCA
This 1019-nucleotide long non-coding RNA is filed under the name Homo sapiens (human). Its description in RNAcentral is "HSALNT0059500". The record is from RNAcentral. Lineage: Eukaryota; Metazoa; Chordata; Mammalia; Primates; Hominidae.